AAAUACGUGUCAUCAAAGAUUACUCAAAAAUUGCUCAUUAUAUCUCAAUCAUAUUUAAAACUGACGACAUGACAAGUAUUAGCUUUUGAUUUAUACAAAAAAGAUCAAAAUCAGUGCAUCCAGUAAAAAGAUAUAACGUAUAAUACAACGUAGGGUGACGAAAAUAAUGUCAAGUAAAUACGCGUUAUCAAAGAUUAAUCAAAAAGUAGUUAUCAGAUCUCGAUAAAAUUUAUAUGUGACCACAUGAUAAACAUCAGCUUUCGAUUAAAGUAAAAAUUAUCAAAAUCGAUACACCCAGUAAAAAGUUAUUGCGGAUUUUCAAGAGUUUCCCUCGAUUUCUCUGGGAUCCCAUCGUCAGAUCCUGGUUUCCUUAUCAUGGUACCAAACUAGGGAUAUCCCCUUUCCAACAAAAAAAGAAUUAUCAAAAUCGGUACACCCAGUAGACAGUUAUGUGGUAUAAUACAACGU
This 468-nucleotide unclassified non-coding RNA is filed under the name Melitaea cinxia (Glanville fritillary). RNAcentral's name for it is "misc RNA ENSMCXG00005007751.1". Lineage: Eukaryota; Metazoa; Arthropoda; Insecta; Lepidoptera; Nymphalidae. The record is from RNAcentral.